UUUAUUAUAGUUUUAAUUAGAUUUAUUUUUCAAUGGCACAACAUAUGCAUGUACACUACAAAAAAUCUAAAUGCAUGAUUUAGAACCUUGUGUAGUUAGCACGUACAUAAAUACAUGGUAUAUAGAUUAAAUAGAAUUAGAGGUUUUUACAAGAGAUUAACAAUUUUAUGGUUAAAUUCAUGCCAAGUAAUGUCAUCACUACUAUUCAAUGGAGGGAGUUGUUAAUCCUCAUUGUAGCAUCUAUUUGUCCAACAAACACUAUACCAUGCAUGUAGCCCCCUGCAUCAAUAUAUCACCCCAAUGAAAAUUAAAAAUGGAGGAAUUAGGAUGAAAUUUGAAAACAAUGGAGAAUGGGAUGAAAACUGAGAAUGAGAGGGAUUAAGAUGGAUCGAUUUAAUAAAAACAUGGGUCACUUCAACAUUCUCUUAUAUAUAUUGAAAGUUCUAUUUUUACUUACUUCUUAUU
This 465-nucleotide long non-coding RNA is filed under the name Physcomitrium patens. RNAcentral's name for it is "long non-coding RNA (PPAT_LNC007298)". The record is from RNAcentral. Lineage: Eukaryota; Viridiplantae; Streptophyta; Bryopsida; Funariales; Funariaceae.